GCAUAUCAAUUAAGCGGAAGGAAAAAGAAAAAUAACAAUGAUUUCCCUAGUAACGGGCGAGUGAACAGGAAAAAAGCUCAAAGUUGGAACCUGUUUGGCCUAGCUAAACCGGAUUGUAAACUGUAGAAGUGUUUUCCAGGCAAGCCGGACCGAUAAGUCCUUUGGAACAGGGCAUCAUAGAGGGUGAGAAUCCCGUCUUCGGUCUGAGCAUUUGCCUUUUGCGAUACACUUUCAAAGAGUCAGGUUGUUUGGGAAUGCAGCCUAAAUUGGGUGGUAAAUCUCACCUAAAGCUAAAUAUUGGCGAGAAACCGAUAGCGAACAAGUACCGUGAGGGAAAGAUGAAAAGAACUUUGAAAAGAGAGUUAAACAGUAUGUGAAAUUGUUAAAAGGGAACCGUUUGGAGCCAGACUGGCUUGUCUGUAAUCAGUCUAAGUUUCGGCUUGGAUGCACUUGCAGGCUAUGCCUGCCAACGACAAUUUGGCUUGAGGGAAAAAACUAGGGGAAAUGUGGCCCAUUCGUGGGUGUUAUAGUCCCUUAGAAAAUACCUUGGGCUGGAUUGAGGUACGCAGCGAAUGCUAUUUGGCGAGUUGGCUGGGAAUAUUUUCUGAGGUGCUCUGGUACUGAGGUUGAUAUUCCUAGUUACACUUCUAUUCGCUUAGGUUGUUGGCUUAAUGACUCUAAAUGACCCGUCUUGAAACACGGACCAAGGAGUCCACCAUUAGUGCAAGUGUUUGGGUGCCAAACCCAUACGCGUAAGGAAACUGAUUGAUACGAAUCCGCAAGGAGGCAGUAUCGUCCGGCGCUGACGUUUUAUACUGAAUUGACCGAGACAAAGCACUAAUGAUGGGACCCGAAAGAUGGUGAACUAUGCCUGAAUAGGGUGAAGCCAGAGGAAACUCUGGUGGAGGCUCGUAGCGAUUCUGACGUGCAAAUCGAUCGUCAAAUUUGGGUAUAGGGGCGAAAGACUAAUCGACCAUCUAGUAGCUGGUCUGCGA
RNAcentral lists this ribosomal RNA (995 nucleotides) under Rhizopus microsporus var. microsporus. RNAcentral describes it as "LSU rRNA". It matches the Rfam family "Eukaryotic large subunit ribosomal RNA", at positions 38 to 961 of the family's 3401-position model. The record is from RNAcentral. Lineage: Eukaryota; Fungi; Mucoromycota; Mucoromycetes; Mucorales; Rhizopodaceae.